GUGAUUAUUCCUUGAAAAUUGAUUGUGGUUGUGAUCCUUUGUAUGAUUCCCCACCCAUGUUUGAUGACUAUGAGGAUGAAUUGCUUGCUUCUUGUGAAGACUUAAGUAAUAAUCCAUUUGAUUCUGCUUGUGGUGUGUAUCUACUUGAGGGUUCUUCCAUGAAAAGAGAAAGUGUCCAUUGCUUGGAAAUUACUUCUUCUUCUACUUUGUGUGACCUUAUUGUUGAGAGUACUCAUGGUGAUGAUUUUGAAACUAGUAGUGAGUACAUACAUGAGGACACCUUAGUUGAAGUUGACUUGAGUUAUACCUUUC
Molecule: long non-coding RNA, 312 nt
Filed under: Capsicum annuum
Lineage: Eukaryota; Viridiplantae; Streptophyta; Magnoliopsida; Solanales; Solanaceae
Description: long non-coding RNA (CANN_LNC011337)
Source: RNAcentral